Molecule: small RNA, 94 nt
Filed under: Salix viminalis (osier)
Lineage: Eukaryota; Viridiplantae; Streptophyta; Magnoliopsida; Malpighiales; Salicaceae
Source: RNAcentral
UAAGUUCUUAUCUUCAAGAAUUAUGUGUACGAUUCUGAAGUAUCAUUCAUUGGUGGUUCUGAAAUCAUUGGAUUCUCCAAACGAAAUUAUUUAC